GGCGGCAUAGCCAAGUGGUAAGGCAGAGGUCUGCAAAACCUCCACCCCCCCAGUUCGAAUCUGGGUGCCGCCU
This 73-nucleotide transfer RNA is filed under the name Neosynechococcus sphagnicola sy1. It matches the Rfam family "tRNA". Rfam says of the family: Transfer RNA (tRNA) molecules are approximately 80 nucleotides in length. Their secondary structure includes four short double-helical elements and three loops (D, anti-codon, and T loops). Lineage: Bacteria; Bacillati; Cyanobacteriota; Cyanophyceae; Neosynechococcales; Neosynechococcaceae. The record is from Rfam by way of RNAcentral.